This 304-nucleotide ribosomal RNA is filed under the name uncultured bacterium. Its description in RNAcentral is "partial 16S ribosomal RNA". It matches the Rfam family "Bacterial small subunit ribosomal RNA", at positions 121 to 399 of the family's 1533-position model. The record is from RNAcentral.
AAAAAAAAAAUAUAAGACUGGGAUAACUUCGGGAAACCGGAGCUAAUACCGGAUAAUAUAUUUAACCGCAUGGUUCAAUAGUGAAAGACGGUUUUUCUGUCACUUAUAUAUGGAUCCGCGCCGCAUUAGCUAGUUGGUAAGGUAACGUCUUACCAAGGCAACGAUGCGUAGCCGACCUGAGAGGGUGAUCGGCCACACUGGAACUGAGACACGGUCCAGACUCCUACGUGAGGCAGCAGUAGGGAAUCUUCCGCAAUGGGCGAAAGCUUGACGGAGCAACGCCGUUUUAUUUUUAAUGAUCCGC